RNAcentral lists this unclassified non-coding RNA (365 nucleotides) under uncultured Helotiales. Its description in RNAcentral is "sequence contains ITS2". The stretch from base 1 to 154 matches the Rfam family "5.8S ribosomal RNA". Lineage: Eukaryota; Fungi; Ascomycota; Leotiomycetes; Helotiales. The record is from RNAcentral.
AACUUUUAGCAAUGGAUCUCUUGGUUCUGGCAUCGAUGAAGAACGCAGCGAAAUGCGAUAAGUAAUGUGAAUUGCAGAAUUUAGUGAAUCAUCGAAUCUUUGAACGCACAUUGCGCCCUUUGGUAUUCCGAAGGGCAUGCCUGUUCGAGCGUCAUUACAACCACUCAAGCCUUUGCUUGGUCUUGGGGCUCGCGGUCUCGCGGCCCCUAAAAUCAGUGGCGGUGCCGGUCGGCUCUACGCGUAGUAAUACUCCUCGCGACAGGGUCCGGACGGUGUCUUGCCAGCAACCCCCAUAUUAUUUUCAGGUUGACCUCGGAUCAGGUAGGGAUACCCGCUGAACUUAAGCAUAUCAAUAAGCGGAGGCU